Molecule: non-coding RNA, 1663 nt
Organism: Aegilops tauschii subsp. strangulata
Lineage: Eukaryota; Viridiplantae; Streptophyta; Magnoliopsida; Poales; Poaceae
Source: RefSeq, a predicted model, not a curated record
AACUCCCUGAUCCCAAUCACGCCCACACGUUUUUUAUCUACUACUUCGCCGUCGAUCAGCCUUGUGCGACAGGAUAGCCCGGGUCACGGGAAAACACCAAUCCACCGAAAAAAUAACGCAAGGGCGAGUGAAAAAACAAAAGAACGGAUGCAUCCCGUGUCGACGCAACGCCUGGCGCCCGUCCCCAACGCCAACCACCAGCGCGCGCUUCUCCCGCCGUCUCCUCUGCUGCUUCGGCCACGGACCAGCACCAGGUCCUCGGCGUCCGCCAGAUCGGCGCCGCGCGCCGUGUCGCCCGCGACCCCAACCACCGCAGCCACCAACGACCCGGACGCCGGCGCGCAGCCAGAUAAGUGGGAGGAGUUCGCGGCGCGGGUGUCCGGCGAGUGGGACGGCUUCGGCGCGGACUUCACGGUGGCCGGCGACCCGGUGGAGCUGCCGGCCAACGUGGUCCCGGACGCGUACCGUGAGUGGGGGGUCCAGGUGUUCGACUGGCAGACGCAGUGCCCCACCCUGGCCGACCCCGCCGCGCCGGGCGCGCUCCACUAUCGCCUCGUCCGCCUCCUCCCCACCGUCGGCUGCGAGGCCGACGCCGCCACCGUGCACACCUCCCACCAGCGCCACGUCUCCUCCGCCACCGCCUUCGCCUACGGCGGCGCCGGGGGCUCCUACGUGGCCACGUGGCCCAAGGGCCCCUCGGCCGUGCUCGAGGUGGAGCACUGCAUCUGCCACCCGGACAACGCGGAGGUGCGGGUCAGGCUGGUGCAGACGGUGGCGCUGGCCAAGGACGCGGCGCGGCUGCGCGGCGUCAAGGUGUUCUCCGAGCAGUGGUACGGCCCGUACCGCAACGGCGACCAGCUCGGCGGCUGCGCGCUCCGCGAGUCCGCCUUCGCCGCCGGGGAGAGGCUCCCCGCGUCCGAGGUGGUCGGGCAGUGGGAGAGCGCCGCCAGGUUCUCCGGCGCGCUGGACCCCGUGACGGGCAAGUUCGCGGGGCUGGAGCCGGACCACGAGCCGCGGAGGACGGCGAGGGACGGUGCCGGCGUCGUGACGCUGCUGCCGAAGCAGCUGUGGAGCUCGCUCAAGGUGAGCGGCGGCGACGGCGACGGCGACGACGGCGACGUGGUGUGCGAGGUCGGGUGGCUGCUGGGCCACGGCAGCGCGGUCACGUCGACGUGCGUCCUGUCCAGAGACGGAGACGUCAAGGAGAUAGCUGCCGCGCAGGAGACCCGGGUGUCGGAGGCCACCUGAACAGAGCCAAGAACUCUUCAGAAAAGUCUUCUUCCUCCUCCUGCUGGCGGUCCGCCACGUUUUCGUUGACCUUUGGACAGUGGUGGUGCGAAGGAUGUCGGCCUCAUGUCCGAUUCCCAUCCAAAUGGUGUGUAUAGCGGCAUCGGCCGGCCUGUGGAGGUUUGAUAUUCCUGAUCUACAACUUUUUUCAUCGGCGAUGGUUACUGCACCGAUCCUUUGGGUCCUUAGCAUGACAUUUUCCGAUGUCUACAACAAGGUCUGUCCAGCAAUGACGGCAGCGCCUUUGGCUCACUCCGGUGCUUGUAAUCGUCGCUAGGUGGCCAAUGAAACUGAUUGUAAUUUUUAUUGCCUCUAGUGUUCUAAUGACUGACAUGAUUGAUUAUAAAUAGAUCAUAAGAAAAAUGAGAUGCAGAUA